Molecule: long non-coding RNA, 607 nt
Organism: Salvia miltiorrhiza (redroot sage)
Lineage: Eukaryota; Viridiplantae; Streptophyta; Magnoliopsida; Lamiales; Lamiaceae
Exons: 2
Source: RefSeq, a predicted model, not a curated record
UAUGAAAUGUUUAUGAAAUGAAAUGAUUGACUGCCAAAAAUGUUUAUGUUUUUAUAUGUAUCCUAUCUGUGUUGGUUCGCCAACUUUAAAGGAAAUCCAAUUGGGAUCCUAUGCUAGACAAAGGUCGCUAGCUAGGGUUAACGUGUACACUCAUGGAGACCGCGAGUCGCUUGCGACCGGUCUUGGCGUCCGUGGUAAGGAGGCCUCCUUCCCGGCGCGUGACAGAAAGGAACAGAUAUGGAUCAUAUGAAGGAAAAUGAUCGGCCGAUCGACUUUAUGAAAAUGAAAGAAAUAUUUUAGUAAGCGCAGGUUGAGCAGUUGAUGGAAUGGAAUGAUGUUGAGCGAGUGUUCCUUUGACAUUUCAAGAAAUGUAACCUUGAGUAUACAUCUUCAUAUGUAUAUCUCACACGUUUUCCGCUGCAAAACACUUUGAUUAGGAUAGCUCUAUGUUAUGAAGUUGUUAUACGUGUUAUUGGGUAACCCACCUUAAUCAGUUCUCAUUUAUGUGUAUGUUUUAUAAGUAUCCAAAUAAUCAUAUAUAAUCCUAGCAUUUUAUCUAUGAGUGACAUUUCCAUAUACUUUAAUGUUAAGUAAUUGUCCAUUUCCA